UACGUAGGUGGCAAGCGUUGUCCGGAUUUACUGGGCGUAAAGGGCGCGUAGGCGGCCUUCUAAGUCGAACGUGAAAUCCCCGGGCUCAACCCGGGAACUGCGUCCGAUACUGGAAGGCUUGAAUCCGGGAGAGGGAUGCGGAAUUCCAGGUGUAGCGGUGAAAUGCGUAGAUAUCUGGAGGAACACCGGUGGCGAAGGCGGCAUCCUGGACCGGCAUUGACGCUGAGGCGCGAAAGCCAGGGGAGCAAACGGG
This 253-nucleotide ribosomal RNA is filed under the name uncultured bacterium. RNAcentral's name for it is "partial 16S ribosomal RNA". It matches the Rfam family "Bacterial small subunit ribosomal RNA", at positions 524 to 776 of the family's 1533-position model. The record is from RNAcentral.